RNAcentral lists this ribosomal RNA (771 nucleotides) under uncultured bacterium. Its description in RNAcentral is "bacterial SSU rRNA". It matches the Rfam family "Bacterial small subunit ribosomal RNA", at positions 8 to 796 of the family's 1533-position model. The record is from RNAcentral.
AGAGUUUGAUCAUGGCUCAGGACGAACGCUGGCGGCGUGCUUAACACAUGCAAGUCGAACGGAAAGGCCCUUCGGGGUACUCGAGUGGCGAACGGGUGAGUAACACGUGGGUGAUCUGCCCUGCACUUUGGGAUAAGCCUGGGAAACUGGGUCUAAUACCGAAUAGGACCACGCGCUUCAUGGUGUGUGGUGGAAAGCUUUUGCGGUGUGGGAUGGGCCCGCGGCCUAUCAGCUUGUUGGUGGGGUAAUGGCCUACCAAGGCGACGACGGGUAGCCGGCCUGAGAGGGUGACCGGCCACACUGGGACUGAGAUACGGCCCAGACUCCUACGGGAGGCAGCAGUGGGGAAUAUUGCACAAUGGGCGCAAGCCUGAUGCAGCGACGCCGCGUGAGGGAUGCCGGCCUUCGGGUUGUAAACCUCUUUCAAUAGGGACGAAGCGCAAGUGACGGUACCUAUAGAAGAAGCACCGGCCAACUACGUGCCAGCAGCCGCGGUAAUACGUAGGGUGCGAGCGUUGUCCGGAAUUACUGGGCGUAAAGAGCUCGUAGGUGGUUUGUCGCGUUGUUCGUGAAAACUCACAGCUUAACUGUGGGCGUGCGGGCGAUACGGGCAGACUAGAGUACUGCAGGGGAGACUGGAAUUCCUGGUGUAGCGGUGGAAUGCGCAGAUAUCAGGAGGAACACCGGUGGCGAAGGCGGGUCUCUGGGCAGUAACUGACGCUGAGGAGCGAAAGCGUGGGGAGCGAACAGGAUUAGAUACCCUGGUAGUCC